Molecule: ribosomal RNA, 253 nt
Filed under: uncultured bacterium
Lineage: Bacteria
Description: partial 16S ribosomal RNA
Rfam family: Bacterial small subunit ribosomal RNA
Source: RNAcentral
GACGAACCGAGCGAACGUUGUUCGGAAUCACUGGGCUUAAAGGGCGCGUAGGCGGGUCAUCAAGUCCGGGGUGAAAUCUUCCGGCUUAACCGGAAAAGGGCCUUGGAUACUGGUGAUCUGGAGGGAGGUAGGGGCAGCUGGAACUUCCGGUGGAGCGGUGAAAUGCGUUGAUAUCGGAAGGAACUCCGGUGGCGAAGGCGAGCUGCUGGACCUCUUCUGACGCUGAGGCGCGAAAGCUAGGGGAGCAAACGGG